This 600-nucleotide ribosomal RNA is filed under the name Aureobasidium pullulans. RNAcentral's name for it is "eukaryotic LSU rRNA". It matches the Rfam family "Eukaryotic large subunit ribosomal RNA", at positions 48 to 657 of the family's 3401-position model. Lineage: Eukaryota; Fungi; Ascomycota; Dothideomycetes; Dothideales; Saccotheciaceae. The record is from RNAcentral.
UAGCGGAGGAAAAGAAACCAAACAGGCGUAUUGCCCUAGUAACGGCGAGUGAAGCGGCAACAGCUCAAAUUUGAAAGCUGGCCUUCGGGUCCGCAUUGUAAUUUGUAGAGGAUGCUUUGGGUAAAACGCCAGUCUAAGUUCCUUGGAACAGGACGUCAUAGAGGGUGAGAAUCCCGUAUGUGACUGGAAAUGUUAACCUAUGUAAAGCUCCUUCGACGAGUCGAGUUGUUUGGGAAUGCAGCUCUAAAUGGGAGGUAAAUUUCUUCUAAAGCUAAAUAUUGGCGAGAGACCGAUAGCGCACAAGUAGAGUGAUCGAAAGAUGAAAAGCACUUUGGAAAGAGAGUUAAAAAGCACGUGAAAUUGUUGAAAGGGAAGCGCUUGCAAUCAGACUUGUUUAAACUGUUCGGCCGGUCUUCUGACCGGUUUACUCAGUUUGGACAGGCCAGCAUCAGUUUCGGCGGCCGGAUAAAGGCUCUGGGAAUGUGGCCUCCACUUCGGUGGAGGUGUUAUAGCCCAGUGUGUAAUACGGCCAGCCGGGACUGAGGUCCGCGCUUCGGCUAGGAUGCUGGCGUAAGUCGUGUUGUAAGCGACCCGUCUUGA